GAUGAACGCUGGCGGCGUGCCUAACACAUGCAAGUCGAACGAAGCACCUUACCUGUUUCUUCGGUGGAAAGUUUGGUGACUGAGUGGCGGACGGGUGAGUAACCCGUGUGUAACCUGCCCUGUACAUGGGGAUAACAGCGGUAAACGGCUGCUAAUACCGCAUAAGCGCACGAGGAUACAUCUCCUUGGGUGUAAAACUCCGUUGGUACAGGAUGGGACCGCGUUUGCUUGGCGGGUUGGCAGGGUAACGGCCUACCAACGCAACGAUCCGUAGCCGGGCAGAGAGGAUGAGCCGCCACACUGGAACUGAGCCACAGUAGAGACUCCUACGGAAGGGAGGAGUGCGGGAUAUUGCAACAUGGCGGAAACGAUGAUGAAGCACCGAUGCGAGAGCGAAGAAGUAUUUCAGGAAGUAAAGCUCAAUCAGCAGGGCAGAUAAUGACGGUACCUGACUAAGAAGCCCCGGCUAAAUACGUG
Molecule: ribosomal RNA, 477 nt
Filed under: uncultured bacterium
Lineage: Bacteria
Description: partial 16S ribosomal RNA
Rfam family: Bacterial small subunit ribosomal RNA
Source: RNAcentral